GUCGAACACAGGUAUCAUAUUCCUCCGCCAAGCAAGUUCAGUUCAUGCUCUGCUUACUGAGCCUCUCGUUCUAUCCCAUGGGAAAGAAUAACAAUGGCCACCACUCCUGACAUCAAGAGGACUUAUCCAGGCUACUUUGCAAGAAGACAGCCAGUCUCUUCAAUGGCUGUUGGUUCUGGGCACUCAUCCAGAGUGCCACAGAUACCUCUUUAUGCAUGAAGGAAGUACACGGUCCUCCAUCCCUUGUUACUCCCCACUAAAUCCUGCCUAUACCUUCAUUAAACUCUUCGAAUAACCCAUACUGAGUGUGCUGGACUCCGCUACAGAUGGUUUAUGCUGCAGUGCCAUUCUGUCCCUACCACCCACGUCCCCAUGCCAGAUAUAUUUUCUAAAUCUGUGGUGAGAAGAGACAGGAAGGGGAGAUAGGGGCCAUUUCCUACCACAGUUUCAGGCAUGAGUCUUCCAGCAUGCCCUUCUUGGAGAUUACAUGGGCAGCUUACCCUGGGGCAGCCAGACCUUCCAUCUUAGGUAACAGACCCCAGUGUUUAGGCCGUCUGCCCGUGUGGACUCUACACCAUUUCUCUCCCCUGAUGUAUGAGGACUGAAUGAAGAGAUGGCCCAUCUCAACGAGGCAAACAAAUAAAAAACAAGGUCACUAAUUCUGAAGAAGCAGAGUGAAAAGACAUCGACCUGAAACAGAGCAUUAAGAAGAGUCAAGAAAUGCAGCACUUCAGAAUAGGGCUCUCACAACAUCGAUAUGAAGCUGAAAAGUUACCCCAAAGCUGAGCAUCUUAAUGUUGAAGCAAUGCUGGUGAUCAUCGCCUGCAACUUUCCAUUUUGUUACCAUAUUCCUGAGAGGGGGACAACCAUCCUCUGAACACCAACAAGAACAGGGAGUUCUCUCUCAAGAGAGCAGCCCACCUCAUUCAACAGCUCUAAUAACUAAAAUGCCUGCAGUUAUAUAGGGGUAUGACUUGGUCAUUUGUCUUCCAGACACGGAAGAAGUACAUGGCCAUGCUCCCAUUAUCUAAAUUCAGCCACUAAAGAGCCCUGGGAGCAUCAUAGCAGCAGAUCAAACAGCAGAGAAUACUGCCCUGAUCCUCUGUGAUCCAUUGAGACUGGGAAAAAAGAAAAAACAAGACGACUGCAUCAAACCUAAGGAACUAGCCCUGGACCUUCAGACUCAGACUGGGAAUUACACAGUCAGCUCCUCUGCUUUUCCAGGUUGAAGUUGGCACAUUGUAGGACUUCUUGGCUUCCAUAAUUGGGUGAGUCCAUUUCCAUAAUAAACCUCUUUUUAGGUAUCUAUAUUUUUCUCUAGAGACAGAAU
This 1330-nucleotide long non-coding RNA is filed under the name Homo sapiens (human). RNAcentral's name for it is "HSALNT0218746". Lineage: Eukaryota; Metazoa; Chordata; Mammalia; Primates; Hominidae. The record is from RNAcentral.